This 75-nucleotide transfer RNA is filed under the name Gammaproteobacteria bacterium 42_54_T18. RNAcentral describes it as "tRNA-Gln". It matches the Rfam family "tRNA". From Rfam's summary of the family: Transfer RNA (tRNA) molecules are approximately 80 nucleotides in length. Their secondary structure includes four short double-helical elements and three loops (D, anti-codon, and T loops). Lineage: Bacteria; Pseudomonadati; Pseudomonadota; Gammaproteobacteria. The record is from RNAcentral.
UGGGCCGUCGCCAAGCGGUAAGGCACCUGGUUUUGAUCCAGACAUGCGCAGGUUCGAAUCCUGCCGGCCCAGCCA